RNAcentral lists this small RNA (594 nucleotides) under Pongo abelii (Sumatran orangutan). RNAcentral's name for it is "retained intron". The record is from RNAcentral. Lineage: Eukaryota; Metazoa; Chordata; Mammalia; Primates; Hominidae.
CACCACGCCUGGGUCCUCACUCCUACCGCUCUCUUGCAGGGAAGGACAUGGAGCCCAACGGCCCGUCGCUGCCCAGGGAUGAAGGGCCCCCGACCCCAAGCUCUGCCACGAAGGUGCCACCGGCAGAGUACAGGUUGUGCAACGGGUCAGACAAAGAAUGUGUGUCCCCCACCGCCAGGGUCACCAAGAAGGAGACUCUCAAGGCACAGAAGGAGAACUACCGGCAGGAGAAGAAGCGCGCUACACGGCAGCUGCUCAGCGCUCUGACAGACCCCAGCGUGGUCAUCAUGGCCGACAGCCUGAAGAUCCGCGGCACCCUGAAGAGCUGGACCAAGCUGUGGUGUGUGCUGAAGCCGGGGGUGCUGCUCAUCUACAAGACGCCCAAGGUGGGCCAGUGGGUGGGCACGGUGCUGCUACACUGCUGUGAGCUCAUCGAGCGGCCCUCCAAGAAGGACGGCUUCUGCUUCAAGCUCUUCCACCCGCUGGAUCAGUCCGUCUGGGCCGUGAAGGGCCCCAAAGGUGAGAGCGUGGGCUCCAUCACACAGCCCCUGCCCAGCAGCUACCUGAUCUUCAGGGCCGCCUCCGAGUCAGAUG